CAGCCGCCGCGGUAAUACGUAGGGGGCGAGCGUUGUCCGGAAUUACUGGGCGUAAAGGGCGUGUAGGCGGGUAAUUAAGUCAGGUGUGAAAGACCAGGGCUUAACCGUGGGAGUGCAUCUGAAACUGAUUACCUUGAGGGCAGGAGAGGAAAGUGGAAUUCCUAGUGUAGCGGUGAAAUGCGUAGAUAUUAGGAGGAACACCAGUGGCGAAGGCGGCUUUCUGGCCUGUGCCUGACGCUGAGACGCGAAAGCGUGGGGAGCAAACAGGAUUAGAUACCCUGGUAGUCCACGCCGUAAACGAUGGGUACUAGGUGUAGGAGGUAUCGACCCCUUCGGUGCCGGAGUAAACACAAUAAGUACCCCGCCUGGGGAGUACGGCCGCAAGGUUGAAACUUAAAGGAAUUGGCGGG
RNAcentral lists this ribosomal RNA (410 nucleotides) under uncultured microorganism. RNAcentral's name for it is "bacterial SSU rRNA". It matches the Rfam family "Bacterial small subunit ribosomal RNA", at positions 509 to 917 of the family's 1533-position model. The record is from RNAcentral.